UUUAGCUUCUUGCUGCUGACAGUUGCUCUCCUGGCUUCUUACUCAGUCCAUCUUCUGCUUAGUAUGUGUAUUCAGACAGCUGUAACAUCUUAUGAAGAUCUUGGACUCUUUGCAUUUGGAUUACCUGGAAAGUUGGUGGUGGCAGGCACCAUAAUAAUUCAGAAUAUUGGAGCUAUGUCAUCUUAUCUUUUAAUUAUUAAAACAGAGCUUCCUGCUGCUAUUGCAGAAUUUUUGACUGGAGACUAUAGUAGAUAUUGGUAUCUUGAUGGACAAACACUACUAAUAAUCAUAUGUGUUGGCAUUGUGUUCCCUCUUGCACUUCUUCCCAAAAUAGGCUUUCUUGGCUACACAAGUAGUUUAUCAUUUUUCUUUAUGAUGUUCUUUGCUCUUGUGGUAAUAAUUAAAAAAUGGUCCAUCCCUUGUCCUCUGACAUUAAAUUAUGUAGAGAAAGGUUUCCAGAUUUCAAAUGUUACAGAUGAUUGUAAGCCAAAGCUCUUUCAUUUCUCCAAAGAGAGUGCUUAUGCCUUACCAACCAUGGCUUUUUCAUUUCUCUGCCAUACCUCAAUAUUGCCCAUAUACUGUGAACUUCAAAGUCCUUCAAAGAAAAGAAUGCAGAAUGUUACCAAUACAGCAAUUGCUUUAAGUUUUCUCAUUUAUUUUAUAUCUGCACUCUUUGGGUACCUCACUUUUUAUGACAAAGUGGAGUCAGAAUUACUAAAAGGUUAUAGUAAAUACUUAUCACAUGAUGUUGUUGUCAUGACUGUGAAGUUAUGCAUACUAUUUGCUGUGCUUUUGACAGUCCCUCUAAUCCACUUCCCUGCCAGAAAAGCUGUAACAAUGAUGUUUUUCUCCAAUUUUCCAUUCUCAUGGAUUCGCCAUUUUUUGAUCACUCUAGCACUCAAUAUUAUCAUCGUUUUACUUGCAAUAUAUGUUCCUGACAUUAGAAAUGUAUUUGGUGUAGUUGGUGCCAGUACAUCAACAUGUUUGAUUUUUAUAUUCCCAGGACUAUUUUAUCUUAAACUUAGCAGAGAGGAUUUUCUGUCAUGGAAAAAGCUUGGGGCAUUCGUUUUGCUCAUCUUUGGAAUUUUGGUUGGGAAUUUUAGUUUAGCACUCAUCAUUUUUGAUUGGAUUAAUAAAUAAAAGAAAUAUUUUCCUACUUCUUACAAGAAUAAUAUACCCCUAGUUGCAAGAAUGAAUUAUUCCGGAAGACACCCUGGAUGAAAAAUAACAUUUUAAUAAAAAUUAUUAACA
RNAcentral lists this long non-coding RNA (1251 nucleotides) under Homo sapiens (human). Its description in RNAcentral is "long non-coding RNA NONHSAT168530.1". Lineage: Eukaryota; Metazoa; Chordata; Mammalia; Primates; Hominidae. The record is from RNAcentral.